This 274-nucleotide ribosomal RNA is filed under the name uncultured bacterium. RNAcentral's name for it is "partial 16S ribosomal RNA". It matches the Rfam family "Bacterial small subunit ribosomal RNA", at positions 524 to 796 of the family's 1533-position model. The record is from RNAcentral.
GACGUAGGGUGCAAGCGUUGUCCGGAUUUACUGGGCGUAAAGAGCGCGUAGGCGGUCUGUUAAGUGUGAAGUGAAAUCUCCAGAGCUCAACUCGGAAACUGCUUCGCAUACUGGCAGGCUGGAGGAAUGGAGAGGUGAGUGGAAUUCCUGGUGUACCGGUGAAAUGGGUUGAUAUCAGGAGGAACACCGAUGGCGAAGGCAGCUCACUGGCCAUUAUCUGACGCUGAGGCGCGAAAGCGUGGGUAGCAAACAGGAUUAGAAACCCCCGUAGUCC